Cyprinus carpio (common carp) is the source of this 1063-nucleotide long non-coding RNA. RefSeq lists it as uncharacterized. The transcript has 3 exons. Lineage: Eukaryota; Metazoa; Chordata; Actinopteri; Cypriniformes; Cyprinidae. The record is from RefSeq and is a predicted model, not a curated record.
CACUCAGAAUCUAUGACUGAUUUGGGUUGUUCUUUGUUGUGUUUAUUCAGAGGACGUCCUGGCGAAGGAUGCAGGAGAAUGUGCAAUAUGUCUGGAGGAGCUGGUGCAGGGAGACACCAUCGCACGCCUGCCCUGCCUCUGCAUCUAUCACAAAGGCUGUAUUGACGAGUGGUUUGAAGUGAACCGAUCGUGUCCUGAACAUCCCUCAGAUUAGCAGCGCCUCUCUCACCUUUGCACAGCCUCCUGGUCGUGAGAAGCGCCGCAAUAUGAAUUCUCCUCCUCCUCAUAGACACUGUGACUUUGGUCUCUUCUCGUAGCAAGGCCCUACAUAGUCGCCAUAUAAACCCUAGUGUGCCAAAACUCAUUCAGGGAAACUCUUUCCUCAUCACAGUCCAUCGGAAGCCCCAGCGGCGGUCGAGACCCUGGAGAUUCUCUCCUCCUUCGCACAAUUGUCCAAUCAGGAUCUAGCAGGAGUUCAUUUCAUUGGCUGUCUCUGAUUGGCCGGACUCAGGGUCAGCUGACUGUGGAUAAUUAUCGGACGGUAGUCGAUAGUUCUCUGUUAAAUGGGACUAUGUCUCUCAGUGCCUUAAUUUUCAGAUUCCAGGAGCCGAAGCGAAGGCUGCAUUUGGGAUGUUCUUCAGAGGAAGGGCUCAGUGGACUCGGAGAAAUACGCCUGGAUGUGACGGGACGUGAGCCCUGAUUCGGGACGGCCCUGAACCAUACUGAGCCAUUAUUUCUCUCUCUCUCUCUCUCUCGCUUCAUGGAUGGUGAAAUAUCCCGUGGAUCUCGAGUCUCGGAUGAAGAUUCAUAUGACGUCUGCACCGUCUCAAGAUCAGUUUUGCAUCGUUUUAUUUGUGUUGAGACAAAUCUAGGCCUUAAUUCAACACACCACUGACUUCUGUCUCUCUAUGUAGGGUGAAUCACAUCAAAACAUGUCAAAAUCAGAAGAAAAAAAUACAAAAUUAUAUUUUGCAUGAAGAAAAUGAAGAUUACUAUAAUGCAAUUAUUUUAUUAAAAUCUGAAUUAUUUUAAUGGCAGUGCUACAAAUACUACCAUGAUGUGC